GAGUUUGAUCUUGGCUCAGAGCGAACGCUGGCGGCAGGCCUAACACAUGCAAGUCGAGCGGCAGCGCGGGGGCAACCCUGGCGGCGAGCGGCGGACGGGUGAGGAAUGCAUCGGAAUCUACCUCGUUGUGGGGGAUAACCUCGGGAAACCGGGACUAAUACCGCAUACGACCUACGGGUGAAAGUGGGGGACCGCAAGGCCUCACGCGAUGAGAUGAGCCGAUGCCGGAUUAGCUAGUUGGCGGGGUAAAGGCCCACCAAGGCGACGAUCCGUAGCUGGUCUGAGAGGAUGAUCAGCCACACUGGAACUGAGACACGGUCCAGACUCCUACGGGAGGCAGCAGUGGGGAAUAUUGGACAAUGGGCGCAAGCCUGAUCCAGCCAUGCCGCGUGUGUGAA
This 398-nucleotide ribosomal RNA is filed under the name uncultured Gammaproteobacteria bacterium. RNAcentral's name for it is "bacterial SSU rRNA". It matches the Rfam family "Bacterial small subunit ribosomal RNA", at positions 9 to 409 of the family's 1533-position model. The record is from RNAcentral. Lineage: Bacteria; Pseudomonadati; Pseudomonadota; Gammaproteobacteria.